This 807-nucleotide long non-coding RNA is filed under the name Mus caroli (Ryukyu mouse). RNAcentral's name for it is "lncRNA (MGP_CAROLIEiJ_G0034474.1)". The record is from RNAcentral. Lineage: Eukaryota; Metazoa; Chordata; Mammalia; Rodentia; Muridae.
GUCUUCAAAACUCAGUCAACAGACGGAGUUAAAUCAUAUCAUAGGGCAGUUGGAAUUCCCAGAUGUUUACAGAACGGUCUGUCCAGCAGAUAAGAAACCAUGUUCUUCUCAGAGCCCCAUGGAGCUCCAUCAAACUUGUAAGGUGGACAUUGCAGUACUUCUCACCCUGUUUACAGGAUAGAGAGUGGAAGCACUCGGUCUGUAAAGUUGGUUUCACCCUGAUAUCAGCCCCACAUAGGGGCAGAACAAAGAGAAAAACUGCAGGCCGUUUAAUCUGAUGAACGUAAAUUGUAAAACUUUUCAACAAAACAUUUGCAACUGAAUUCAAGAACACUUCGAGAAAAAAAAUCGCAUCACUGCCAAAUCACUGCCAAGCUGGUUUCACUCCAGGUUGUAGGGUGGUGCAUUCGAGAUUCUAUGAUGAUGCAUAAAAGGCCUUUACCAAAGUUUUGGCAGUUCUGGGCAAAGGAGAGACAUAAGGAACAUCGUUAGUGUGGUAGACUGUGCCGUGAGUGUGUGGUCAACGUUGCACCAACACUCGGAAAUGAGGCAGGUUUUCUCUGGUGUUGUACUUGAGCUCUCAACCAGAGCAAUGGGAAAGAGCAGAAAAUUAAAAGACUGUAAUAGGACAUAUCAUGCUGCCUGUUUGUACAUGACACGGUCCUAUGUGUAAGGCACCCUGUGCGCUCCAGCAAACUUGGAGGGCUGCUGUGUAUUUUAGGAAAGUAUCAGGACACAGACUCAGUGGGAUUUCUGUACCCAUAGUGAACUUGCUAGGAAAGUGCCCACUCUUCAUACAUAGCAAUA